UACUAGUAACUCCUUUAAAAAUCUACUCUGUGCCUGUCCUUCAUAAUUGCACUUAAUCCUAUUUCCAGGUUUGCUCCCUGCUGGGUGGACAUGACCAGCAAGGAGCCCCAAGGUGGAAGGCAGAGCCACCUGAACCAGGGGUGUCACAGGGACCAUGUGUGGGGUUGUCCUGUACAUAGGAUCAGUAAAUUUGAAACUAACUGAUGUGCCAAGAACUCAACGAUGAUGCAAUGCCAUGAGAGCAAUGCAAAGGCUGCCCAUCUGAGAGUCUGAAGCAAAGGGAACUAACUCCUGGUCCAGGGGAUGUAUAACCUGGCCUGGAAGGCGUUGUGCCUGUGUUGACCUAGCUGGCUUGGAGGACCGUUGGUAAGUUGCGAGAUAUUCUGCUAUUGCUGUUC
RNAcentral lists this long non-coding RNA (398 nucleotides) under Mustela putorius furo (domestic ferret). RNAcentral's name for it is "lncRNA (ENSMPUG00000027886.1)". Lineage: Eukaryota; Metazoa; Chordata; Mammalia; Carnivora; Mustelidae. The record is from RNAcentral.